GCUUGCUUCUUCUGAUUUUAGCGGCGGACGGGUGAGUAACACGUGGGCAACCUACCUUGUAGAUUGGGAUAACUCCGGGAAACCGGGGCUAAUACCGAAUAAACCAUUUUGCUUCAUGGCAAGAUGUUGAAAGGCGGCUUCGGCUGUCACUACUAGAUGGGCCCGCGGCGUAUUAGCUAGUUGGUAGGGUAAUGGCCUACCAAGGCGACGAUACGUAGCCGACCUGAGAGGGUGAUCGGCCACACUGGGACUGAGACACGGCCCAGACUCCUACGGGAGGCAGCAGUAGGGAAUCUUCCACAAUGGACGAAAGUCUGAUGGAGCAACGCCGCGUGAGUGAAGAAGGUUUUCGGAUCGUAAAACUCUGUUGUAAGGGAAGAACACGUACGAGAGUAACUGCUCGUACCUUGACGGUACCUUAUUAGAAAGCCACGGCUAACUACGUGCCAGCAGCCGCGGUAAUACGUAGGUGGCAAGCGUUGUCCGGAAUUAUUGGGCGUAAAGCGCGCGCAGGCGGUUCUUUAAGUCUGAUGUGAAAGCCCACGGCUCAACCGUGGAGGGUCAUUGGAAACUGGAGAACUUGAGUACAGAAGAGGAAAGCGGAAUUCCACGUGUAGCGGUGAAAUGCGUAGAGAUGUGGAGGAACACCAGUGGCGA
Molecule: ribosomal RNA, 657 nt
Filed under: Paenisporosarcina sp. B2955_2
Lineage: Bacteria; Bacillati; Bacillota; Bacilli; Caryophanales; Caryophanaceae
Description: bacterial SSU rRNA
Rfam family: Bacterial small subunit ribosomal RNA
Source: RNAcentral